This is a non-coding RNA of Poecilia reticulata (guppy), 1316 nucleotides long. The record is from RefSeq and is a predicted model, not a curated record. NCBI's taxonomy places the organism in Eukaryota, Metazoa, Chordata, Actinopteri, Cyprinodontiformes, Poeciliidae.
GUUACUUUAGUUCAUAUUCAGUCUAAUGUUAGUCAGUUUAAAGUGUUCUCUUCUUUAGUGUAACUAACCUGGAGGUCACAACUGCCUGUUCAUUUUCAUGUGAAGCAGUUUGACCGAGAUUUGAACCGGGCUCAGACCGUAGAACAGAUAUCACAUGUGGAACUGGGUUGCUAGUUGUUUAGGUUCUAGAAAAAUACCUAUCAUUUUGGUGCCGAAACCCGGGAUCUCUCACAUCGACCGCUGUCAGGCAGAGGAAGACGCGCUGAAUCCAUGGAUGGCCAGAAGUCAUUUGGACCUGGAAAGAAAGACCCAGGAAGUAAAUUCUUCGCUGGGCCAGCAUGUCAAGGGCCGACUUUGUCUGCCAACGGCGGAGUGACGAGAUCCAACCGGACAGUGCGAAAACUACAGAAACGUAAGUGAAUUGUAAAAUGUUUCAAACGAAUGAUACUAAAAUAAAGUCGACAUAAAUAAAGGGUUGGAGUCCCAGUUGCAACUAAAUGCUACUAAAAUUGAGGGUUGGAGUCCCAGUUGACAUUGGCACUUGAUUCAACUAAAUGCUUUUGGGUUGAAGUCCCUGUUGACGUCGUUUCAACUAAACAAAGGAAAGGCUCUUAGAGCCGCCUGUUUUUGGGAGACCCCUUAAGGGUAAGUCCUCAGGCGGAUAGGAAGCUUGUCAUUGCUGUGUGGUUUUGAUUUUUUGAUGGGUAAAAUAUGACUGGUGCUGAGUUUUCUGAAAGUACUACUUACAAGGCAAAACCAGAUCAUGUUGCGCUAAAUCAUAGAGUCAUUGCUGAUAUUGCUGGUUUGCUACUGCUGCUUUGAUGUGUGUGUGCGUGAAAGAGUAGUGUGAGAGUGAUUGGAGGUUUAAAUAUUGCUCUGUAUUUUACCUCAGUGGGAUUAAACAGCAGACUUCUUGUGGAUGCAAUAUGCAAGAUUCUCCCACUCGAAAGAGUUGAAGCGGGGAAUAUCACAACAAGGUAUUUUAAUUGCUGGCCCACUGAAAAGAUCUCCAGUUCAUAGGACUCCCUAGGAGUCAACGAACCUGGACCAAAUUUAAAUAAAUUCAAAUAAAUAAUAUUUUCAAGCUGAAAUUGCAAGUGUUUUAAAUAUGGGAAAUAAACAUUCUUGUAAUUCCUCACUCGCUGAGGGCCCCAACAGGGAUGAAAAGUGCAUGCUGUCCAGGUUUCCUGGUAGCACUGUACACAUGAAAAAAUGGAGAAAGAAAUAUAAAAUUGAUGGAAAGCUAGAAAUUGAUCAAUGGCAAACAAUUGUGGGAAUUUUGGAGAGUAGUGUAGAAAGAAAAAUGGGUAUAAAAA